RNAcentral lists this unclassified non-coding RNA (348 nucleotides) under soil metagenome. RNAcentral describes it as "partial contains 5.8S ribosomal RNA, internal transcribed spacer 2, and large subunit ribosomal RNA". The stretch from base 1 to 120 matches the Rfam family "5.8S ribosomal RNA", at positions 35 to 154 of the family's 154-position model. The record is from RNAcentral.
GAUGAAGAACGUAGCAAAAUGCGAUAAGUAAUGUGAAUUGCAGAAUUCAGUGAAUCAUCGAAUCUUUGAACGCACAUUGCGCCCGCUGGUAUUCCGGCGGGCAUGCCUGUUCGAGCGUCAUUUCAACCCUCAAGCCCCCGGGUUUGGUGUUGGGGAUCGGCUCUGCCCUUCUGGGCGGUGCCGCCCCCGAAAUACAUUGGCGGUCUCGCUGCAGCCUCCUUUGCGUAGUAGCUAACACCUCGCAACUGGAACGCGGCGCGGCCAUGCCGUAAAACCCCAACUUCUGAAUGUUGACCUCGGAUCAGGUAGGAAUACCCGCUGAACUUAAGCAUAUCAAUAAGCGGAGGA